GUUCUUACCUGGCAGGGGAGACACCAUGAUCAGGAAGGUGGUUUUCCCAGGGCCAGGUUCUUCCAUUGCACUUGGGAUGCACUGACCCCCGCGAUUUCCCUGAAUGGGGGAAACUCGACCGCAUAAUUUGUGGUAGUGGGGGCUGCGUUUGCACUCUCUCCUA
This is a small nuclear RNA of Nannospalax galili (Upper Galilee mountains blind mole rat), 163 nucleotides long. Its record names the gene U1. It matches the Rfam family "U1 spliceosomal RNA". Rfam says of the family: U1 is a small nuclear RNA (snRNA) component of the spliceosome (involved in pre-mRNA splicing). Its 5' end forms complementary base pairs with the 5' splice junction, thus defining the 5' donor site of an intron. There are significant differences in sequence and secondary structure between metazoan and yeast U1 snRNAs, the latter being much longer (568 nucleotides as compared to 164 nucleotides in human). Lineage: Eukaryota; Metazoa; Chordata; Mammalia; Rodentia; Spalacidae. The record is from Ensembl.